AGAACGAACGCUGGCGGCAGGCUUAACACAUGCAAGUCGAACGAACGUAGCAAUACGUUAGUGGCGCACGGGUGAGUAACACGUGGAUAUCUGCCUUUUGGUUCGGGAUAACCCUGGGAAACUAGGGCUAAUACCGAAUGGUUCCUACGGGAUAAAGAUUUAUCGCCAAAAGAUGAGUCCGCGUCCGAUUAGCUAGUUGGUGAGGUAAUGGCUCACCAAGGCGACGAUCGGUAGCUGGUCUGAGAGGACGAUCAGCCACACUGGGACUGAGACACGGCCCAGACUCCUACGGGAGGCAGCAGUGGGGAAUAUUGGACAAUGGGGGCAACCCUGAUCCAGCCAUGCCGCGUGAGUGAUGAAGGCCUUCGGGUUGUAAAGCUCUUUUGGCGGGGACGAUGAUGACGGUACCCGCAGAAUAACGCCCCGGCUAACUUCGAGCCAGCAGCCGC
RNAcentral lists this ribosomal RNA (449 nucleotides) under uncultured bacterium. RNAcentral describes it as "SSU rRNA". It matches the Rfam family "Bacterial small subunit ribosomal RNA", at positions 26 to 518 of the family's 1533-position model. The record is from RNAcentral.